Molecule: long non-coding RNA, 3250 nt
Filed under: Gallus gallus (chicken)
Lineage: Eukaryota; Metazoa; Chordata; Aves; Galliformes; Phasianidae
Description: long non-coding RNA NONGGAT008152
Source: RNAcentral
CACAGCCUUCAGCUUUUAGGCAGGUUUUCCUUUGUUUUGGUUGAUGCUUGACAUUUAAUUGGAAAUUCCUUCUAGGGAAUGGAUGGCAGAGCCAAAGGAGGUCCUUGGGAAAAAGAAAAUCUAACCUUUCCAGUAAGGUCUUCUGCUGAAAGAUUUUGUGAGAUAGCAUAAAACAGUGCAUGAACAAGAAAAGCCUCACUACAAAGCAGCUCAGUGCUACUGAUCAUUGAAUUUAGGAGCCCUCUGGAAUCUGUGGUGAAAGGAAGAAUGCAUGUAGGAGUGCUGUUUGGGAACACUUGGAAAGUAAGAAUAGCAAUGAUCUUUCUACUCCGGAAGCUGUGUGUUGUCAAGACUGUCUGCAAGAAAGAGGAAGAAGGACCUACCUCAUGUAAACAAGAUGCAUCUGCAAAGCAAAGGCGAAAACCUGCCUAUCUCAGUCUUUUUGUGAAACUUGGUUGUCACCUGGGGAGAAGUUCAUAAACUGAAUGUUCCGGAGUAUGAACAACAGCUGUGUGGUAAGUUUAUCCUGGCUAAGUGACCAACCAUCUUUGGCCAUCAGUCGAUUGGAGCACUACAGAGGAUAACAGAGAGGCUAUUCUAGGCCCAAGCAGUGGCCAAGAUGUGUGUGGGGGAGAUGUCACAGAGGCAGUUGGACACUGUGCAGAGGACAGAGAGUGGCACUAGUGUUGUUCUGUCCUUCCUAUCACCAGCAGUGAAUUAGGCACCCCUUUGCCAGGUGUGUUGAUGAGAACAAGGUGCAGACAAACAAAAGUGACACCCAGCAAAAAUCCAGCAGAUAGAGGUGGAAAUCCUUUUGCACAGGUCAGACAUGCAAAGGUUUUUCUCGGGGCUUCAUAUUAUACACAGUAUCCUGCAGGGGAGGGCUUUUUCUUUUAGAUCUGCAGUAUAGAUUACAGCAAGUUGUAAAUAUACUUGCAGACGCUUUGUUGAUCUGUAAUUGUUAUCGUUCAGACCACUGCUAAAAGCAUUAAAUGUCAUAGCCAAUGAUGAGAAGGGAAGGUCCCACACAGUCACGCCCACUCAGCAGUGACAUCCCUGCACUACUGUGUUGUGAGACUUACAGACAUCUGUUUGUCAAUUCUAGAUUGGCCUAAUUUUUAACAAUACCAUGUUUUAGAAAGUUAGAAACUUUAGGAAUAACCUUUCACACUCUAAUUUGUAAUAUUUCUCUUUAAAGUUAGAUUUGAGAAGUCAUUUUCGUGAAGCCAUAUUCAUCGUCUAUUGUAAAUACCCCCUUUUACUUUUUUAAUUAUUUUAAUUCUGCGUUUGUGGCAGUGGCAGUUAGAAUGUGUUUACCUGACAAGUUUGUAAGAGGCUACUUUAUCCAGUACAUGCUUGGCAUUUUAGUAAGCCAUCUUUCUUCCUGUUUUGUAAAAUCCUCUUAAUCACUUCAAAGAGCUAAUGAAAAGAAGCAUUAAUUGCUCUGGACACAGUUCAGCCUAUUGUCUUGGACUACCUGGAUGGAUGUGGGCUAUCCAGAACUGCUGCACUCCAUGUGCCUAACUGUACUGCCUGUUCUUUCAGUCUCCCGCUGUGGAGAUGAAAUAGCCCAAAUCCAUUUUGCAAUGCUUUGAAUUCCCACGUGGCUCUUUUCUGAUAUAGAAAACACACGUGUUAAAUAUGUUUGCAUUUGGUGCAUUGUUUUUGACAAUUAUAUAUAAGAGCAUAUAUUUCCGUAUAGUAGUAUGCUGGUCUCAAAAGUACAUUUCCUUUUUAUCCUAAGGUAUUCUUAAAAACAUGUGUUAACUUCACUCUGGUUGUAUAUUUCCACUUGUUUUCAUGCGUUCUUCAGUUCACUGAUAUUUAAUGCUCAUUCCUUCAUUGUGACAUAGUGUUUCUGGUGUAAGUUAAAAAAAAAAAAAAAAAAAAAAGGUACAACUGUACUCUCAGGAGUUGUUUGUUAGUUGUGCUGAGUAACUGAUCCAGGAGAGAAAGAAUUUGCUGUGAGGACAGGUUUCCUGGUCCUGCCUAGCAGUGACACCUAAUUAUGCUGCAUGUGCCCGGCCCAGGAGCCAGGAGAAAAGAGCUGGAAGCCAUGGCUGACCCAUCUGGGAGAGGUAAGUACCUGCUUGGGAAAAUCUGUCUUGAGGGGAACCCCACAGAUUGCUAUCAGCCACAGCCUGCAUGCAAAGAAGCUGUGUGUUGGUCAGAAAAAGUGAAAUUCUAACACUGGAAGAACUGGUAAAUUCAGUCGUGGAAAAACUGCCCUCUAGAGGUGCUUCUCCUUCCUGCUCGCUGGAGGGGCAGCUUGCCUGGCUGAUACAGGUGCUGAAGCUCGUGGGACUCUGAUUUGACAACACGCAAUGCAUCUACAUUUUAGUCUGUAAGUAGUAGCCUUAUGAGACCUGCUUCCAGAAUAUUUUUCUGAUGGGAAAUAUCUGAUCUCUCAUAAUUCGCAAGCUCAUCUUGAAACUUUUCUUCUGGUGAGCUAAGAGUAGGGCUUCUCUUCCGUGCAGCCAUUAGGUUUCCUUAUUGCUGCCAGUACAGACAUAUGUCGAUUAAGGAGCUAAGAAGGAGAAGAGGAAGGACCCCUGCUUUCUGCCUGCCCCUGUACACAUGUCAUGUGGGUCUGAGUUUCUGACAAGUACAGUGAUUGUUUUUCACAGUAAUACAGUGGGAAGAUGUCAUUUGUAUCUGGGUAAGUUUAGACUGUGUUAUCAGAGUGGUUCAGAUUCUGGAGGAAUCUGUUUUCUCAUGGGAAACAAGUUGAUGUAAGGUUAUCAGGAACCCUUGUAUGCAAUGUCACUUAGGGCACACCAGUCUUCACGAACUGUGGACUAGCUACUGAGCAGUUGCUGUGUUAAGGCACAGUAGGGCAGAGCUCAGCCUUGGCUAAUGGCCUGAGAACUGAUCCAGGAUCUCUGGUGGAUUUGCAGCUCUUGGUGUGGAGACAGCGUUCCUCUGUCUGCGCUUCUGAUAUAUUUGAUGUUUUCUUUCUGACAUGCGGUAUGUCCACUCCAGCUGCAAUUUGAGCUGUGGGUGGUGCCUUGCAGAUGAAAUGUAGAGCUUAUUUCCAGAACAAAUCAUGGAGAACAAUGUAUCUCCAAAACUGUUUAAAUCAAGCAAAUUAAUGGAGGGAAAAAUCUGUCAGCAUCUAUUACACAUGAUAGUGUUGAUACAAACUCCUGUCUCGAGAAAUCCUUCUGCCGCUCAUAAGAAAGCUGGAAGGGUAUAGGAAGAAAAUUAUCUCUGUCCCCCUUCUUUCUUAAGGAUUUGCUUAAGAUGGAAG